RNAcentral lists this ribosomal RNA (497 nucleotides) under uncultured bacterium. Its description in RNAcentral is "partial 16S ribosomal RNA". It matches the Rfam family "Bacterial small subunit ribosomal RNA", at positions 28 to 507 of the family's 1533-position model. The record is from RNAcentral.
GAUGAACGCUGGCGGCGUGCCUAAUACAUGCAAGUCGAGCGAACAGACGAGGAGCUUGCUCCUCUGACGUUAGCGGCGGACGGGUGAGUAACACGUGGAUAACCUACCUAUAAGACUGGGAUAACUUCGGGAAACCGGAGCUAAUACCGGAUAAUAUAUUGAACCGCAUGGUUCAAUAGUGAAAGACGGUUUUGCUGUCACUUAUAGAUGGAUCCGCGCCGCAUUAGCUAGUUGGUAAGGUAACGGCUUACCAAGGCAACGAUGCGUAGCCGACCUGAGAGGGUUAUCGGCCACACUGGAGCUGAGCCGCGGUCCAGACUCCUACGGGAGGCAGCAGUAGGGAAUCUUCCGCAAUGGGCGAAAGCCUGACGGAGCAACGCCGCGUGAGUGAUGAAGGUCUUCGGAUCGUAAAACUCUGUUAUUAGGGAAGAACAAAUGUGUAAGUAACUAUGCACGUCUUGACGGUACCUAAUCAGAAAGCCACGGCUAACUACGUG